GAUGAACGCUGGCGGCGUGCCUAAUACAUGCCAGUCGAGCGAACAGACGAGGAGCUUGCUCCUCUGACGUUAGCGGCGGACGGGUGAGUAACACGUGGAUAACCUCCCUAUAAGACUGGGAUAACUUCGGGAAACCGGAGCUAAUACCGGAUAAUAUAUUGAACCGCAUGGUUCAAUAGUGAAAGACGGUUUUGCUGUCACUUAUAGAUGGAUCCGCGCCGCAUUAGCUAGUUGGUAAGGUAACGGCUUACCAAGGCAACGAUGCGUAGCCGACCUGAGAGGGUGAUCGGCCACACUGGAACUGAGACACGGUCCAGACUCCUACGGGAGGCAGCAGUAGGGAAUCUUCCGCAAUGGGCGAAAGCUUGACGGAGCAACGCCGCGUGAGUGAUGAAGGUCUUCGGAUCGUAAAACUCUGUUAUUAGGGAAGAACAAAUGUGUAAGUAACUAUGCACGUCUUGACGGUACCUAAUCAGAAAGCCACGGCUAACUACGUG
Molecule: ribosomal RNA, 497 nt
Filed under: uncultured bacterium
Lineage: Bacteria
Description: partial 16S ribosomal RNA
Rfam family: Bacterial small subunit ribosomal RNA
Source: RNAcentral